RNAcentral lists this microRNA precursor (205 nucleotides) under Oryza sativa Indica Group (long-grained rice). RNAcentral describes it as "MIR812 microRNA precursor family". It matches the Rfam family "MIR812 microRNA precursor family". The record is from Rfam by way of RNAcentral. Lineage: Eukaryota; Viridiplantae; Streptophyta; Magnoliopsida; Poales; Poaceae.
AAAAAAUUAAACCUUGAUUUUCUGUGUCCAACUUUAACGGUCCGUCUUAUAUAAAUUUUUUUUAUAAUUUGUAUUUUCAUUGUUGUUAGAUGAUAAAACAUGAUUAAUAUUUUAUGCGUGACUUGUCUUUUUAUUUUUUUUCAUAAUUUUUUCAAAUAAGACGGACGGUCAAACGUUGGGCACGGAAACCAGGGUUUGUCUUUUU